GACGAACGCUGGCGGCGUGCUUAACACAUGCAAGUCGAACGCUGAAGCUUGGUGCUUGCACUGGGUGGAUGAGUGGCGAACGGGUGAGUAAUACGUGAGUAACCUGCCCUUGACUCUGGGAUAAGCCUAGGAAACUGGGUCUAAUACUGGAUACGACAUGUCACCGCAUGGUGGUGUGUGGAAAGGGUUUUACUGGUUUUGGAUGGGCUCACGGCCUAUCAGCUUGUUGGUGGGGUAAUGGCUCACCAAGGCGACGACGGGUAGCCGGCCUGAGAGGGUGACCGGCCACACUGGGACUGAGACACGGCCCAGACUCCUACGGGAGGCAGCAGUGGGGAAUAUUGCACAAUGGGCGGAAGCCUGAUGCAGCGACGCCGCGUGAGGGAUGACGGCCUUCGGGUUGUAAACCUCUUUCAGCACGGAAGAAGCGAAAGUGACGGUACGUGCAGAAGAAGCGCCGGCUAACUACGUG
Molecule: ribosomal RNA, 472 nt
Filed under: uncultured bacterium
Lineage: Bacteria
Description: partial 16S ribosomal RNA
Rfam family: Bacterial small subunit ribosomal RNA
Source: RNAcentral